AUCUCUUCAGCAGUAUGUGAAUACCUGUCAAUCACCCUUGAGGGAACACAAGGGCUGGAAUUUACACGUCAGUGCUGUGGUUGCUGCUGUCACAUUUCCCCUUGGAAACCUCCGCCGAGGACUUUCCCCUCAGCGAGUACAUAUACACCAGCAUCACAGCAUGUCCAGCAUCACCUAUCAGCCUUCCCAUCUUGAAGAACACUUACGCAUCAGGAUCUGAGGACUCCAUCUGCAGCCUGAAGACAUGGCAAAGAUUACAGUCUCUCUCUGCGCACUGCUGGGGCUUCUGCUGGUCUUAGCUUCCGAGGGGGAAACCAGAGUAGGUACACCAAGCAGGGGAUGCUGCACACGAUUCAUCAAGGAUCUGCCUUUGAACAGAAUCCGUGGUUUCAUCGAGGAACGCCAAGGGAUAUGUCGUCUCAAAGCAGUCAAGUUCAUCACCGUAAAGGGUAAGGUUGUAUGUGCCAAUCCAAAUGACCAGUGGGUUAAGGAUGCCAAGGAGUUCAUCAGGACCCCAACUGUGGCACCCUAACCUGAGGACACCUGUGGUGUUAAUCGGAAACUAUCUUUCUGCAUCCAAGGGAUGCUUUUGAUAACUCAAAAGAGCUUUGCUCUAUUUGUGUCCCUUGAUGGGCUUUGUAAGGGA
Long non-coding RNA from Clupea harengus (Atlantic herring), 646 nucleotides. The record is from Ensembl. NCBI's taxonomy places the organism in Eukaryota, Metazoa, Chordata, Actinopteri, Clupeiformes, Clupeidae.